RNAcentral lists this long non-coding RNA (1014 nucleotides) under Fragaria vesca (wild strawberry). Its description in RNAcentral is "long non-coding RNA (FVES_LNC004610)". Lineage: Eukaryota; Viridiplantae; Streptophyta; Magnoliopsida; Rosales; Rosaceae. The record is from RNAcentral.
GGGCGACUGGGAGACCGGGAGAGGGAGAGGAGGCGGAGGAGGCGGAAGAGGAGGCUAGGGUUUUUCUGCUGUCGAGCGCAAGUUAAACCCGACAACUUUAGCCGACGAAAUUAUUAUUUCGUCGGCUAAAGUUAAGAAUCUCGUCGGCUAAGAAUCAAUUCGUCGGCUAAACCUUCGAAAUUCGUCGGCAAACCUUCGAAAUUCGUCGGCUAAACCUUUGAAAUUCGUCGGCUAAACCUUUGAAAUUCGUCAGCUAACCUUUGAAAUUCGUCAGCUAAAGUACUUUUAUACAUUUGGCACAUUGUGAUUGUGAUGAUCAAACUUGAGAAACAGAAAUCCGACCGUCAGAUCUGACCACCAUGACAAAAUAAAUGUAUGGGCAAAAAUUCAACUUGAUCCGACAAGAAUAAGGGCUCGAUCUGAAUGGUCAAUCUCGUAAGUAAAACCCCUAAACCCACGGAAAAGGUCGUUCGACCGUCUAAAUUACGUAUUUUGGCCGGACCUUCAACUGAAAAUAGUUUUAAAUCGAUGACACGCAACAAUUCGUAUAAAAAUUUUACGCAAAAUAACCACCGAAGAUAGGGCUACUCAUAGGGGGAAAGAACGAAAAAUUGCAUUGACCGCAACUAUCGGCAUCGAAUAUUUACCGGAAUAGUGUGAUUUUUCAACCAUGGAUGUAUUUCAACAUUCUCGUCAUAUCUUAUUUCACGACUUUUUGGCGUUUGAAGGUUUUACGUAUAGUUUGUUUUUGAAACGGAACAUUUACAUAACACUUGGUAAACAAGUUAUACAACAUUAGUAGGCAUGUUGUGAUUGUGAUGAUCAAACUUGAGAAAUAGAAAUCCGACCGUCAGAUCUGACCAUCAUGACAAAAUACAUGUAUGGUAAAAAAUUCAACUUGAUCCGACAAGAAUAAGGGCUCGAUCCGGACGGUUAAUCUCGUAAGUCAAACCCCUAAACGGACGGAAAAGGUCGUUCGACCGUCUAAAUUACGUAUUUUGGCCGGCCCUCCAC